This 79-nucleotide transfer RNA is filed under the name Bradyrhizobium sp. BR 10289. RNAcentral describes it as "tRNA-OTHER". It matches the Rfam family "tRNA". From Rfam's summary of the family: Transfer RNA (tRNA) molecules are approximately 80 nucleotides in length. Their secondary structure includes four short double-helical elements and three loops (D, anti-codon, and T loops). Further hydrogen bonds mediate the characteristic L-shaped molecular structure. tRNAs have two regions of fundamental functional importance: the anti-codon, which is responsible for specific mRNA codon recognition, and the 3' end, to which the tRNAs corresponding amino acid is attached (by aminoacyl-tRNA synthetases). tRNAs cope with the degeneracy of the genetic code in two manners: having more than one tRNA (with a specific anti-codon) for a particular amino acid; and 'wobble' base-pairing, i.e. permitting non-standard base-pairing at the 3rd anti-codon position. The record is from RNAcentral. Lineage: Bacteria; Pseudomonadati; Pseudomonadota; Alphaproteobacteria; Hyphomicrobiales; Nitrobacteraceae.
UGCGGGGUAGCGCAGCCAGGUAGCGCAAUCGUGGAAUUCGCACCGAUAGGUCGCUGGUUCGAAUCCGGCCCUGCAACCA